This 326-nucleotide long non-coding RNA is filed under the name Gallus gallus (chicken). Lineage: Eukaryota; Metazoa; Chordata; Aves; Galliformes; Phasianidae. The record is from RNAcentral.
AGCAACUGGAGUAGACUUGACAAGGCUGGCUUUCCCAAUGGGCUCCAAAUCUUUCAGGUCAGGAACACGGUCAUGAUAAAUGAAGUCAUUAUCUUUUUUGGCAGCUGUAAGCGCACGGUUGAUUUUGUCAACCAAAUCUUUAACAUUUAUAUAUUCAUCAUAACGAGAUGCCACUGUUUUCACCAAGUCUGCUGCAUGCUGCAACCUCCCAAUUUCUUCACCAAAUUUCUUCUGCUGUUUUGCCAGGAUAGAUUGAUGAUAUUCUGCAUUGGCCUGCAUAAUGCAGUGCUUGGGCAGAGUAUCUUUAUAUUGACACUGUUUGUAAG